GAGCACGUAGCUCAGUUGGUAGAGCAAUUGACUUUUAAUCAGUAGGUCAUGGGUUCGAAUCCCAUCGUGCUCACCA
RNAcentral lists this transfer RNA (76 nucleotides) under Rhodospirillaceae bacterium. RNAcentral's name for it is "tRNA-Lys". It matches the Rfam family "tRNA". From Rfam's summary of the family: Transfer RNA (tRNA) molecules are approximately 80 nucleotides in length. Their secondary structure includes four short double-helical elements and three loops (D, anti-codon, and T loops). Lineage: Bacteria; Pseudomonadati; Pseudomonadota; Alphaproteobacteria; Rhodospirillales; Rhodospirillaceae. The record is from RNAcentral.